AGCCUCGAGCCACUACGCACUGGGGGUAGAGAUACUGAAUCGGUUUGGGGCCCUUCCCGGGGUACCCUGCUGAACCAAACUCCGAAUACCGGUACGACUAUCUCGGGAGUCAGUCCGCGAGGGAUAAGCUUCGCGGUCGAGAGGGAAACAACCCUGACCAUCUGCUAAGGUCCCGAAGAAAUGCUUAGUCACUAAGGAAGUUGAGUUGCGGAGACAACCAGGAUGUUGGCUUAGAAGCAGCCACCAUUUAAAAAGUGCGUAACAGCUUACUGGUCGAGCAAUUCUGCGCCGAUAAUGAACGGGAGUAAGUAUGACACCGAAGCAGUGGGUGCGCAAGCACGGUAGGAGAGCGCAGUAGAGGAGAUACAAGCCGUACCGAAAGGAGCGGUGUCGGCCUCUACUGGUGAUUAUGCCGGAAUGAGUAACGAUAAAACAGGUGAGAAUCCUGUUCGCCGAAAGCCUAAGGUUUCCUCGGCAAGGCAAAUCCGCCGAGGGUUAGCCGGUCCCUUAGUCAAGGCCGAAAGGCGUAGACGAUGGGUAGCAGGUUAAUAUUCCUGCGCCGUGUACCUGGACCGAUGGAGGGACGGCAUCCAAAAAGUGAGCGUUACGGAUAGAAAUGUGCGUUGCAUGAUCGAGAUGGGAGGAUUGGCAAAUCCGCCUCCGGAAUUCAAGAGAAAUGCGGGACUUCUUAUUUUGAAGGAAGUCACUGGAAGGAUGUCCAAGAAAAUCUUCUAAGGGUUGAAGGGUACAUGACCGUACUAAAACUGACACAGGUAGGUGAGACGAGAAGUCUAAGGCGCUCGGGAGAACGCUGGUUAAGGAACUCUGCAAAAUGGCCCCGUAAGUUCGCGAUAAGGGGUGCCUGCGCAAGCAGGCCACAGUAAAUCGGCUUCUGCGACUGUUUAUCAAAAACACAGGACUCUGCUAACUCGCAAGAGGAUGUAUAGAGUCUGACGCCUGCCCGGUGCCGGUAGGUUAAGGAAGAGGGUUAGCCUUCGGGUGAAGCUCGCGACCGAAGCCCCGGUAAACGGCGGCCGUAACUAUGACGGUCCUAAGGUAGCGAAGUUCCUUGUCGGGUAAGUUCCGACCCGCAUGAAAGGCGUAACGACUGGCGCACUGUCUCAACAGCAGACUCGGCGAAAUUGUAGUCGUGGUGAAGAUGCCACGUUCCCGCACCAAGACGGAAAGACCCCGUGAACCUUCACUACAGCCUGAUAUUGGGGCUUGUUAUGUCGUGCGUAGGAUAGGUGGGAGACGUCGAAGCCGGGCUUUAGGGCCUGGUGGAGUCAAUGGUGAAAUACCACUCUCGGCAUGAUAGGUCUCUAACGCUGCGCCGUGAAUCCGGGCAGCGAACAGUGUCAGGUGGGUAGUUUGGCUGGGGCGGUCUCCUCCUAAAAGGUAACGGAGGAGCGCGAUGGUACACUCAGUGCGGUUGGCAAUCGCACGUAGAGCGUAAGGGUAGAAGUGCGCCUAACUGCGAGAGAUAUAGCUCGAGCAGGUACGAAAGUAGGUCCUAGUGAUCCGGCGGAUUCCGAGUGGAAGGGCCGUCGCUCAUCAGAUAAAAGGUAC
RNAcentral lists this ribosomal RNA (1569 nucleotides) under Globobulimina sp. Its description in RNAcentral is "bacterial LSU rRNA". It matches the Rfam family "Bacterial large subunit ribosomal RNA", at positions 878 to 2466 of the family's 2925-position model. The record is from RNAcentral. Lineage: Eukaryota; Foraminifera; Rotaliida; Buliminidae.